This 62-nucleotide ribosomal RNA is filed under the name Phlebia radiata. Its description in RNAcentral is "partial 28S ribosomal RNA". The stretch from base 9 to 62 matches the Rfam family "Eukaryotic large subunit ribosomal RNA", at positions 1 to 54 of the family's 3401-position model. The record is from RNAcentral. Lineage: Eukaryota; Fungi; Basidiomycota; Agaricomycetes; Polyporales; Meruliaceae.
UGACAAUCUGACCUCAAAUCAGGUAGGACUACCCGCUGAACUUAAGCAUAUCAAUAAGCGGA